Molecule: ribosomal RNA, 46 nt
Filed under: Aspergillus giganteus
Lineage: Eukaryota; Fungi; Ascomycota; Eurotiomycetes; Eurotiales; Aspergillaceae
Description: partial 18S ribosomal RNA
Source: RNAcentral
CCGUGUUUAUUGUACCUUGUUGCUUCGGCGGGCCCGCCGUCUUCGG